UACGAAGGGUGCAAGCGUUACUCGGAAUUACUGGGCGUAAAGCGUACGUAGGCGGCUUUGCAAGUUAGAGGUGAAAGCCCGGGGCUCAACCCCGGAAUUGCCUUUAAGACUGCAUCGCUCGAAUCCAGGAGAGGUGAGUGGAAUUCCGAGUGUAGAGGUGAAAUUCGUAGAUAUUCGGAAGAACACCAGUGGCGAAGGCGGCUCACUGGACUGGUAUUGACGCUGAGGUGCGAAAGCGUGGGGAGCAAACAGG
Molecule: ribosomal RNA, 253 nt
Filed under: uncultured bacterium
Lineage: Bacteria
Description: partial 16S ribosomal RNA
Rfam family: Bacterial small subunit ribosomal RNA
Source: RNAcentral